RNAcentral lists this microRNA precursor (172 nucleotides) under Oryza brachyantha (malo sina). RNAcentral describes it as "MIR812 microRNA precursor family". It matches the Rfam family "MIR812 microRNA precursor family", at positions 17 to 188 of the family's 205-position model. Lineage: Eukaryota; Viridiplantae; Streptophyta; Magnoliopsida; Poales; Poaceae. The record is from Rfam by way of RNAcentral.
AUUUAGCAUUCGAAUACAAUGUUUGACUGUUUGUCUUAUUUAAAAAUAUGAUUAAUAUUUUUAUUGUUAUUAGAUGAUAAAACAUGAGUCGUACUUCAUGCAUGACUAGUUUUCUUUGACUUUUAUAUAAUUUUUGAAAUAAGACGGAUAGUCAAACGUUAGAUACAAACCA